This is a long non-coding RNA of Lytechinus pictus (painted urchin), 1176 nucleotides long. RefSeq lists it as uncharacterized. NCBI's taxonomy places the organism in Eukaryota, Metazoa, Echinodermata, Echinoidea, Temnopleuroida, Toxopneustidae. The record is from RefSeq and is a predicted model, not a curated record. The transcript is spliced from 2 exons.
AGAUCUCACCACUGAUUGGUCAGUUUUAAUUGUCUCUGAUUAAGCCGCACCCAUCAGAAAAACUCUCGACCAAUCACGACUGGAAGGAGGGUUCAUGGUAUUGAUUGAAAUAGAUUACUGGGAGUAUAUGAACUCAAAUAAAUAGGGGCUAAUAAUUAAACCUGAAUAUCAUUCAGACAUCUGACAGCAAUUCGAAGAACACGUAUUUACUUUUUCGACACAAUUUCAUAUUGACGAAGACAUCGUUUUUACUCGUUACUUUUUAAAGUAGUGUGAAGUUGCGGUUGGAACAAUAUCACCAUAAGGAUUGGAAGCGUUAAUAAUGUCGACUCAACUCCUCUCCGCUCGACCCACCCGCUCUCCGAUGGCUGGGAAUGCUAACUCACCGGUCCCCAUCGAGGUACGCGAGCCCGAUUUCAACAAGGCCAUCGCUUCGGUCAUCUGGCUUCGACAUCAUCGACAACCAACCUCCCGGGUCUUUAACUGCCUUGUCUCGAACUGUCCUCUCUGUCCGGCCUCGAGUUUAACUGAAAGAUCCUUUUCAGCGAAACUUAGGAGCGUACCACAGCCACGAUGGAGGUCGACAUCCGAAAUUAAUCAACCAAAGGUCGUCAACUGGCUGAUACCGUCAUCGACACCCUCAUCGAGCUCCAUGUCCCAUCGAAAGAGGCCAUCAUCAAGGACGUCAUCCCCGCCGAAGAAACGUCUCGCCCGCUCACCUCCGUCUUCUCUCGAUCACCGCCCCGUCACUCCAGAAAGUCUCCGCUUCUGCUGUCCAUUCUGCCCGAUGUCGUUUGUCAAGAAGGACGAUUUUACCAUCCAUCGUCGGUUUCAUCUGGGAACUGAUGUCUACUACUGUCAAUAUUGCCAGAAACCCUUCGAUAGUCCUUCUCGAUUGGUCAAACAUCGUCGCGUUCACACCCUAGGGCAGCCGUUUCGAUGUCCGUUCAAAGGAUGCCCUUCAGAGUUCACACAACAAAGAAGCCUGGAUAGACACAUCAGUCAGCAUCACCAGAACGAAUGAAUGACAGCGUAGAUCUUCCCAAAGAACUUUAUCAGAACUCUAACAGUUUCCAUCUCGUUGAAGUGUACUGUAUUGUUGGUGGCGUCUUAUUCCAAUGCUUCAAAUCUAUAUCAUGUUGAUAUGAAGUUGAAUAAAUGGAUUUUUAUAUUGCA